Molecule: long non-coding RNA, 1041 nt
Organism: Pan troglodytes (chimpanzee)
Lineage: Eukaryota; Metazoa; Chordata; Mammalia; Primates; Hominidae
Exons: 2
Source: RefSeq, a predicted model, not a curated record
AGAUAUUGUGGGCCCUCUUUUUUUGUUUGUUUGUUUGUUUUUUUUUUGCUCCCAGAAAUCUUUGAGGUAAGUAACAUAGUCAAUUGAGGUCUGGAGUUAUGUACUCCAUUUAUUCAUUUUUUCUUAACAUAGUCCCUCCUUACUAUGUGAUAUUCUCUGUCCUAGACCUUGAAAAUACAAGUUAAAUAUGGCAUAUUCUUUACCUCUAUGAGCUUAAAAUUGAGUGGGGAAAGUUCAUUUUUUCUUUGAAAUGAAAACAAACUUAAGUGCCGAUAUGCAUGAGAAAAAUAAAUUGUUCAUUUCUUUACCUACAUCUCAUCAGGAGUAAACACAUUCUCUCUCUGGCUAAGCCAAAUAUACCAUAAAUCCCUCCUAAAAAAAUACCCUGAAAUUGAGAAUCCAAUUUUAAUGGCUAAAUUAUAUUUACCUUGAACUGAGCAUUUUCUAUUAGGAUUUACGUAUGCAUCUUGGGGAUUCUGAAUGUUGGGCUUUUUUUUCUUUUUUCUUUUAGAUUUUAACCUGAAUGGAAAAGACAAUAUGAGGGUGAUGAAAGACUCUAGAUGGUCCGUCUUGGAGAGAAGGUUUUGCCGUCUUGCCCCAGUUGGUCUCGAACUCCCGGGCUCAAGCAAUCCACCUGCCUUGGCCUCCCAAAGUGCUGGGAUUACAGACGUGAGCCACCACACCCUGUCCAGUUUGUAAAUUUCUUACAAAGCUAAACCUAGUCUUAGCAUACAUUCCUGCAAUUGUUCUCUUAGGUAUUUUCUCAACUUACUUGAAAACUUCCAUCCAUAUAAAAAUGGGCACUCUCUAUGCAAUCACCUCAAGUGACUUUAAUCCUUAUUAAUGUAUGAUUCUUCACACACUUCCGGAGUCCAUUAUUGAAUAUUUUAUAGUUCAGGGCCUUUUAGCUCCUAAGCAUUCUUCCCACUGGGCAUCUGUUCCUGUAACGUGGAUUCACACUGCAUAUUCAGUCCCGCUCAAACUGACCAGCGUUAUGAUGUGUUCUUCUCUGCAAUGUGCCCUCAAACAAAACGAAUUGAA